Molecule: ribosomal RNA, 307 nt
Filed under: Haloferax volcanii
Lineage: Archaea; Methanobacteriati; Methanobacteriota; Halobacteria; Halobacteriales; Haloferacaceae
Description: bacterial SSU rRNA
Rfam family: Archaeal small subunit ribosomal RNA
Source: RNAcentral
UAUAGUCCUCGCUUUUCACGACUGUAAGGCGGUCGUGGAAUAAGAGCUGGGCAAGACCGGUGCCAGCCGCCGCGGUAAUACCGGCAGCUCAAGUGAUGACCGAUAUUAUUGGGCCUAAAGCGUCCGUAGCCGGCCACGAAGGUUCAUCGGGAAAUCCGCCAGCUCAACUGGCGGGCGUCCGGUGAAAACCACGUGGCUUGGGACCGGAAGGCUCGAGGGGUACGUCCGGGGUAGGAGUGAAAUCCCGUAAUCCUGGACGGACCACCGAUGGCGAAAGCACCUCGAGAAGACGGAUCCGACGGUGAGG